This 207-nucleotide ribosomal RNA is filed under the name uncultured bacterium. RNAcentral's name for it is "partial 16S ribosomal RNA". It matches the Rfam family "Bacterial small subunit ribosomal RNA", at positions 568 to 774 of the family's 1533-position model. The record is from RNAcentral.
CGCGUAGGCGGUUUGUUAAGUCAGCUGUGAAAGCCCCGGGCUCAACCUGGGAACUGCAGUUGAUACUGGCCGACUAGAGUACGAGAGAGGGAGGUAGAAUUCCACGUGUAGCGGUGAAAUGCGUAGAUAUGUGGAGGAAUACCAGUGGCGAAGGCGGCUUCCUGGACCAAUACUGACGCUGAGGUGCGAAAGCGUGGGGAGCAAACA